CAGGGUCUGACGACUACCCAAACCAAACCGUGAACUGUUUUUCCACUCAAAAAUGCUUUGGCAGGCCGCUCGCUGGGGGAGCCUUGGACCGCCGUGAGGUGGUUGGGCUGCCGAAAGCAUGUAAACCAAAAAUCACUGAAUAACUUUCUGAGAAAAUAUUACCUCCCUCGGGAGAAAAAAAUAUCA
This 186-nucleotide unclassified non-coding RNA is filed under the name uncultured Sordariomycetes. RNAcentral's name for it is "sequence contains ITS1". The record is from RNAcentral. Lineage: Eukaryota; Fungi; Ascomycota; Sordariomycetes.